Molecule: microRNA precursor, 141 nt
Filed under: Gossypium hirsutum (cotton)
Lineage: Eukaryota; Viridiplantae; Streptophyta; Magnoliopsida; Malvales; Malvaceae
Description: MIR7502 microRNA precursor family
Rfam family: MIR7502 microRNA precursor family
Source: Rfam by way of RNAcentral
UAUUAAAAAUUUUAUCCAUUUAUACUGUUAAAACUGGCGCACCAGACAAAAUAACUGACAGUUAUACGUGGUGUACCACGUAUACCGCAUGUUAGUGUACAAGAAUCAAAUUAACAGUAAAAAUGAAUAAAAUUUUUAACA